This is a long non-coding RNA of Myodes glareolus (Bank vole), 387 nucleotides long. RefSeq lists it as uncharacterized. The record is from RefSeq and is a predicted model, not a curated record. Lineage: Eukaryota; Metazoa; Chordata; Mammalia; Rodentia; Cricetidae.
GGGAUUCCUGGGAGGUCAGGCAGCAUUUCAGCAACUGGCUCUUGGGGCCUUACCUUGGCGCUACCACAACGGCCACUCUGGGAUGACCGGCAAAAGUUAUGCUGCACUCACUUUGUCGAAAGAAGUGCGGUUGUCAUGCUUGGAGAAGAAGUGUUGCCUUGCUGGUUCCUUGAAAGAAGAUGAGAAGGAAGGGCAUCUGCUGGAUCCAGGCUCAAUAGUCAGCUGUCAACUCCACAUCGUUGUGACAAGGCAUGGCAGAGCAUCUCGAAACACAUCACUGAUGGAUCACCUCCCAAUUCAUUUUCCCUACAGUUCAGGCCACAGCACCUGACAUUGAGAUCCAAUGUUCUCUCUAUUUUUGUUUGUUUGUUAUUUUAAUGUUUUUUU